This 257-nucleotide ribosomal RNA is filed under the name uncultured bacterium. RNAcentral describes it as "partial 16S ribosomal RNA". It matches the Rfam family "Bacterial small subunit ribosomal RNA", at positions 524 to 777 of the family's 1533-position model. The record is from RNAcentral.
UACGGAGGGUGCAAGCGUUAUCCGGAUUCACUGGGUUUAAAGGGUGCGUAGGUGGGAAUGUAAGUCAGUGGUGAAAUCUCCGUGCUUAACAUGGAAACUGCCAUUGAUACUAUGUUUCUUGAAUUUUUCUGGAGGUCAGCGGAAUAUGUCAUGUAGCGGUGAAAUGCUUAGAUAUGACAUAGAACACCAAAUUGCGAAAGGCAGCUGACUACAGGGACAUUGACACUGAGGCACGAAAGCGUGGGGAUCAAACAGGA